CAGCUACUCUAUGUCAGGCUCCGUGUUAGCCUUUGGAGAUGCAAAAAUCACUUGAGCAAGAUUCUUACUCUUGAGGCAUUUGCAUAAGGGGUCUGUGAAAAUAACAAAAAUAAAGUAACUGAGGCAUUCAUCUUUGAAUCCAAAAGGGUUUUUUUUACAAAUCCAAUGACAUAAAUGGAAUUAAAUCUUCAGUAAUCUUCUAGCAUGAAGGACUGAUGUCGGGGUGGUAUGGAUUAUCUCAAGGCUCUAAGUACCAAGAAGAAUUCAAACUGGUGGUGUUAAGUCCCCAAAGUAAUCAGACUUUCCCUUUGAAACAUACAGUUAAAAAAAAAAAAAAGAACAAAAAAGAAAGGGAAGGCUUUUCUGAGGGCCAGCUCAUUGACUCCUCCCAGAACAGUCUGAUCCCCUCUGCUAGUGAAGCAAGAGGUCAGAUCCCCAGACGGAAAAUCAAUCUCCAAGAGUGGCUGGAUAGAAUUUCUAAUUCUCCAGUGCCACGACACACAGUCUGUUUCCAGCCAAGGAGAAUGGGGCCCAGAGGCGUUACCUUCCCCAACCCACUGUACAUUAUCAGGUUAAGCUGACACCCCUCCCUGCCUGGAGCACACAAUGUCUGACAGUCGCACACACACAGGCACAGCGAUCCCAUGGUGAGGCCUUCCAACCUGCUUUUCUCAAGGUGAGGCCUCUGAGGCAUAGAGAAGCUAAGUAACUCACCCAAGGGGAGAUGCUUGAAGGGGUGAAGAGACAUGUCUGAGUCCAGAUUUAAACCUUUCUCCUUGUGAUUCUGAAGCCAUGAGCUCUCUGUAUCUUAGGCUGAUAUAUCCUGUCUCAGAGGGAGACGUUUUUGCUGGCCACAUCCCAUCGGGUAUUACGAAGAAAAUAUAGUUUCAAUAAUCAUAAAGUGACUUCACCACGUACCAGCUAGAUGAUCAGGGGGCUGAUAGUGACAGAAUUCAAACUGGAGCGGGCAAGGAAGGAGUAGAAAGUAGGGAAGUAGAGACCAAGAGUAUAGGCAAUGCUUUGGAGAAACUUCACUCUAAAUAGAUGGAGAAAUACAGGGAAGUAGCUGGAAGUAUAAAGUUAUGUAAAAAGAGGUGGGAUUUAAAUUCAGUUCUGACUCCAUGACUGAAUUCUGUAAGUUGCUGUUUCUGAACCACCCUAUACUGUUGUUUCUCUGAGUUUGCAUGCUAAUCCAUAAAUUCUUCCCUCUUUUUAUUAUGAUUUGCAACAGAAGCUACUCAAAUGAAGUUCAUCUAUAGAAGAAAGUUCUGGAGUUUUUGAGUAUGUCAUUGUAAAACUAAUUAUUUACUAAGUCUGUGUUAAGCACUAAAAUGUUCACAUAUAGACAUUCCUGCAACCUGUUUUCAUCCUAGUAAUGCACGUAAAAUGAAUUAAGUUUAGAGGAAAAGAGUUAGAGUUAAAGGGUAGUAUUAUUGUAAUUUAUGGGUGAGGAAUCUAGGAGUCAUUGAGACAUUCACGGCAGAACUGGUACAAGAAUCCAAGCCUUCUAAUUCCCAGUCCCUGUCCUUGCUAUUCUUCCAUGCUUUCCACAAGAAGGCAGGCAGGGUAUAAAUGACUGACAUCUGCUGCUUGAACCCAGAGCAACCACCACCAAAACUUCCUCCUCUCAUAAUCAUUAAUAGUAAUAAUUGUAGUUGAUAUCGUUUGGC
Long non-coding RNA from Cebus imitator (Panamanian white-faced capuchin), 1670 nucleotides. RefSeq lists it as uncharacterized. The transcript has 5 exons. NCBI's taxonomy places the organism in Eukaryota, Metazoa, Chordata, Mammalia, Primates, Cebidae. The record is from RefSeq and is a predicted model, not a curated record.